RNAcentral lists this ribosomal RNA (463 nucleotides) under uncultured Bacteroidota bacterium. RNAcentral's name for it is "bacterial SSU rRNA". It matches the Rfam family "Bacterial small subunit ribosomal RNA", at positions 40 to 496 of the family's 1533-position model. Lineage: Bacteria; Pseudomonadati; Bacteroidota. The record is from RNAcentral.
CGGCAGGCUUAACACAUGCAAGUCGAGGGGUAACAGGGAGUGCUUGCACUCCGCUGACGACCGGCGCACGGGUGCGUAACGCGUAUGCAACCUACCUUCUACAGGGGGAUAGCCCAGAGAAAUUUGGAAUAAUACCCCAUACGAUCAUUAAUUGGCAUCGAUUGAUGAAGAAAACUCCGGUGGUAGAAGAUGGGCAUGCGUCCUAUUAGUUAGUUGGUGAGGUAACGGCUCACCAAGACGUCGAUAGGUAGGGGUCCUGAGAGGGAGAUCCCCCACACUGGUACUGAGACACGGACCAGACUCCUACGGGAGGCAGCAGUGAGGAAUAUUGGACAAUGGAGGCAACUCUGAUCCAGCCAUGCCGCGUGCAGGAAGACGGCCCUAUGGGUUGUAAACUGCUUUUAUACAGGAAGAAUUGUACCUACGUGUAGGUAUUUGACGGUACUGUACGAAUAAGGAUCGG